Molecule: ribosomal RNA, 465 nt
Filed under: uncultured bacterium
Lineage: Bacteria
Description: partial 16S ribosomal RNA
Rfam family: Bacterial small subunit ribosomal RNA
Source: RNAcentral
GACGAACGCUGGCGGCGUGCUUAACACAUGCAAGUCGAACGGAAAGGCCUCUUUCGGGGGGUACUCGAGUGGCGAACGGGUGAGUAACACGUGAGUAACCUGCCCUUGACUUUGGGAUAACUUCAGGAAACUGGGGCUAAUACCGGAUAGGAGCUCCUGCUGCAUGGUGGGGGUUGGAAAGUUUCGGCGGUUGGGGAUGGACUCGCGGCUUAUCAGCUUGUUGGUGGGGUAGUGGCUUACCAAGGCUUUGACGGGUAGCCGGCCUGAGAGGGUGACCGGCCACAUUGGGACUGAGAUACGGCCCAGACUCCUACGGGAGGCAGCAGUGGGGAAUAUUGCACAAUGGGUGGAAGCCUGAUGCAGCAACGCCGUGUGCGGGAUGACGGCCUUCGGGUUGUAAACCGCUUUCGCUCAUGACGAAGCUUUGUGUGACGGUAGUGGGUAAAGAAGCACCGGCUAACUACG